UGGAAUACAGUUGGGUGGAAGAGCUAUGCCCUCCUGGGAUGACUGGAGGGGCAGACGAGGAGAGCCUCUUAUGCACAGAACUUGGAGCCAGCACUGUGCCCAGAGUGAGGCUGGCUAAGGGUGGGACCUUCAUGAUACUCAAGUGGUACCACCACUUCCAGUAACUUUUUCGUGUUUCUUGGAGUAAAAACUUUGGAAUUAUCUUGAACUUUUGUCUCCCCUAAAUCCAAUCAGAUACUCAAACUGGUCUUUCCCUUCAUGUCUAUUUGAUUGUUUCCAUUUCCCUUUGGCAUGUUUGCUGGCAUGUUCCCUUUGGCAUCUGUGAAUGGUGGUUUCAUUCAGAUUGCUAAUAGUAAAUCACCUUCUGGACUUGGGGUCUCCAGGGUGGGCUGCAUGAGACAAUCUUUGGGGGUACAGGAAGAAGGUGCCAGGAUUUCUAUUAAUAUAUACUUUGAACUAAACAUUAGAAAUAAAAUGUUACUUUUUUUUAAA
Long non-coding RNA from Carlito syrichta (Philippine tarsier), 492 nucleotides. RefSeq lists it as uncharacterized. The transcript has 2 exons. NCBI's taxonomy places the organism in Eukaryota, Metazoa, Chordata, Mammalia, Primates, Tarsiidae. The record is from RefSeq and is a predicted model, not a curated record.